Molecule: long non-coding RNA, 11101 nt
Organism: Brassica rapa (field mustard)
Lineage: Eukaryota; Viridiplantae; Streptophyta; Magnoliopsida; Brassicales; Brassicaceae
Source: RefSeq, a predicted model, not a curated record
CUUUUAUUUUAAUAUAAUAAAAAAUAAUUAUAAAAUUUAUAAGAAUAGAAUGUAAUUUUAUUUUAUUUUAUAGAUUUCGGUUUACAACUAAUUUAUAAUAAUUUUAUAUUACUAAUUACGAAAUUAUUCAAUUUAUUAAUUUAAAAAGUAUUUAAAUUUUUAGUGAUAUUUUGUUAGAUUUUUCUCAAUAGAUUUAUAAUGAAAUAUCUUUAUAAUUAUUAAGAUUUUUUAGAAAUGUUAUAUAUUCAAUAGAUUAAUGUAGAUAAUUAAGUAGAUGUAAUUAAUGAAAUGUGCCUAUUAUGAUUUUUUAUGGUAGAUAAAAUUUGUAUUUAUCUUUUAAUAGAGAAUGAUAGAUUCAAAAGCAUUUAAAACAUAAAAAAACAUCAAAUUGGUAUACGACUGACUCUGAUAUAAAUUUAGUUUUGAAUGAUAAUAAUAUUAGUUGUGAACAGUGGCAGAGGCAAUUAAAGAUCAUGUGGGUCAUUUGACCCAUAUCAAUUUUAAGAAUUAAUCAAAUUUAAGCAUAAAUAUAUAAUAUAUCUUGAUUAAUUGGUUAAGUUUCAGUAGUUUGAUCUCCUUAAUAUCUAUCCAAUUUCAUAUAUAUAAACUUUUGACCCCGUUGAUUUAUUUUCCUAGCUCCGCCACUGGUUGUGAAGAAGUGUUAAGUAAUGCAUAAUAUAAAGAAGGAGUGUAAUAUGAGGCAUACAACAAUGUCCAAUAGAACAAUGGUUUUGUUGAUGAUAUUAGCAAAUAAUUCAUAAAGAAAAACGACAUGGUAUAAUUAGUUAGAUUGAUGAUAUUAGUCGUUGAUUUCACAGUGAAUAGAUUAUAUAUGAUUUCAGGAAUAAAUAAGAACAUUAAAUUUGUUUUGAAUAAAAAUCUAUCGUUAGGAUAUUAUUAGAAAAAUAUAAAUAUAUAUUUAAUAAAUUAUCUAAGAGAUGAUCCAAAUGCGCAGGGUGCACUCCUAGCUUCUCCAUUUCAUUCGUUUAUAAAGGGAUGUGCAUGCAAAUCACUUAAUUAGCUGGAUGAGCCUACGUCAAUUUCAUUUGGCAUGGGCCUUAUGUGCCAAGUGUCUCUUUGAGCGACAAUAUUAUAUGCAAAAGCAGAUAAGACCGCGUAUAUUCUUACCUAUUGGUUUUUAUAACUUUAUAUUCUAGAAGCCAUCCACGUGAUAGUAUUGAUGUAUAUAUGCACUGCAUUUAUAUAAUUUUUCAGGUAACUUGGAUACUGUCAUAUUUUAUGAAGAGAAUUUGCACUCCAUUUUCACUCCAAAAUUACAAGAAAAUAUACUUCAGAGUGAAUAUUAUAACCAGGAUCGGCUUAGGUAUAGGGGCAAGGGAAACAUGGACCUUGAGCCCAAAUUUGUUUUUGCAUAAUUAGUAUUAAAAAGAAUCUGAUUUUUACAAAAAUUAAGAAAAGAGAUCUAACUUUUUUAAAUUAUCCAUAAAAUAUAUGCAAUUUUUUUUGAGAAACUAUUUUGUGAAGGACCUAUAAUUUACUUGAGCCGGUCCUGAAUAUAAUGUACUAGAAAGUAAUUCAACUAAGAGGUUAAAAUAGACACUGUGGGAGUAAUUAUCCGGCUGUGAAUAAUUAUGUUCACCUUAAUGCCUUGGUGAAAAUUAGAGUUAAGCACGUUGUGGACUUUCUAUGUUAAUAUAUUGUUCAGUUGACUUUACAUAAUUGUAAGCAUGUUUGGUUAAAAAAAAAACUAAAAAGUAUGAGAAUAUUUGUUACAUUGAAACCCAAAGCGUAGAGUUUCUAGAAUGGGUCUUUGUCCUUAGUUUUAUAUUUUAGGGCAAUUUUCUUUCAUUUGGAUUUUUUUGUUGUGACCGUUUGGUGGACUCGUUCAUAAAAUAUCUUAUCUUAUAUAUAUAUAUAUAAUAUAAAUAUAAAGUAGAGUUGUGUUCUGCACACAGCCCUCCACCUCAUCAAGGAGAUAUGGGCAAAUCGUGCUACGGCAGCAUAUCUUUUUUAAAGUUUUCUGCUGUGUGUUUUGUUAUUAGAGCAUCACUCGAGAGUAAUGAUAAUGGGCUUUGCGUAAACAUUUAACGGCCCAAAUAGAACUAACCUAAUUCGACAUUCUCGACCACGUCAAGUGUGCUGAUUCUCUCCUUUCUGCAGAAGCUUCUCCGUUCCACAUCCUCUUCCCAUUGAUGUCUCUAAGAAACGUAUGUAGUUAUGCCUUUCAAUCCAUGAUGUCCUAUUUGUAGACUGUGUGUUCCGGUUAAUAUCAUCUUUCCGUUUGCACAAGAUCACUGAAACCCAAACACGCUCACAGUUUACUCAUGAAAUGGCGAAUCAGCAACUGUAAUCGUCUUCGUUUCUGGGAAGCUCCGAAUUUAAAGCAAUGAGAAGAACUCACUGGUGUUGAUAUGAUUUUUGUCAAUGGAAAGUCAAGCAUGAUUCGAGGGUUUAUCAAUGUCCACCGACUCAACUCCUACAUACAUAUCCUAAUAGAAGGAUUUUUUUAUGAAUUACGAGCUUAGCCUGUUUGCUGUUACUAGGAACAGCCAAAGCUUCAUAUUCGAUGAUGCCCAUGUACCUAUUUGAUUCACUGAUCGGAAAAAAAUUGGAAGAGUUGGCAGACAACUUGCAGGUGUGUUUCAUUUACCAGUUUUCAAACCCCUUUACUCGAACAUUUCAGGAUCUUCGUUUGACUUCCUAAGCUAUUAAGGCUUUAUAGAUCCAACAGCCUGCAAAUAUUUCUUAUUAACAUAAACCAAAUCGCAACCACUAAACCCCACAGUGUUAGACCAAAAUAUUAAUAAUAUCGUAAACAACGACAAGAACAAUGAUAUUCAAAACUCAGUUGUACAGUAAGUUACGCACUAACUACACUGUUUGAUAAAAGUACAUACAUGGUGGUAUAAUAAUAGUUUCAGGAUGGUCACAUCAAAUGCAAGCCAAACGAACUAGGGAGUAGGCCUCCACGUUUAAAACACUCGGAUAAACUCACUGCUAUUCGUGACGUAAACAUGCCCCCACACUUCCUUCACUUAUGCACGUACCAUUACUCAUUAAAAGUAAAAAAAAAAAGAGUUUCCAUCAAGUUAAAGCUCCUCAUCCAGCAAUGGUGAAGAAGACACCCGAUGAAAACAAGAACAUAAUAGUGAAGAAUAAGUAACCAAUGAAUAGAAUGAGGCGGUCGUUCCUUAACAACUACUCUCUAUCAUGCAUCGGUAAAGAAUGUAUCUGUCAAUCCAAAAUUCAUAUCAUAUUCAUCCUUAACAAGUACGCUCUAUCAUUCUCUUUCAACAUAUAUGCAUCUUCGUUUAUUUGAAAAUAUUUUAUUUACUAAAAUCAUAAAAUUAAUUUAAAAUUCAUCAAAAUAUAAAAUAUACAAACUUACGCGCCCGGAAUACCACUAGUUAACAGUAUAAGUAAUCUUUGACUAGCUAGUGCCUUUGUAUCACGGAUUGAUGAUGACCGUUGACACAUUGGUCAGAAUUCAUUAGUGUCUUUCAUCUACCGGACGUUGACAUAUUGGUCACAAUUCAUUAGUGUCUUUCAUCUACCUAAAAUGACAGUUGGUUAGGGGGUAAACGACAUUAGUUUUUUUUUUUUUAUCAAUGACAUUAGUGUAUAUAUAUAAUAAGAAAAGAGGAAGAAGCAAUGAGUGAAUAACUUAAAAGACAAGGAAUAAGGUAAAUAAUCUUGAUCCAUAAAACUUGUAAUUUGAAAUCUUAAUCAUGCUAAUUGCUACUCUUUCAUUUUGAAUCAGUGUGGACGAAGAUACGAACUGGAAGGUAAAAUGAUUCUUUUUUCUUUAAUAUAGCGUAUUUUGAAUUUUAUCUUCUUCUUUUUUUGAGUUGUGAUUUUAAAUCUUUGUAGAAUGGCUGAGUGGAAGAAUAAUACUCUGAAUGCUAUUGAAGCAAUCAAAUUGAAUCUUGAUGGUCUUUCCCAUAUUACGGAAAACACUAUGAGCCAUGGACCCCUGAACGAGAUGUUUACUAAUGUGGAGGUGUCGAUCUAUCACUUAAACGAAAUUCUCCAAGCCGCCGGGGUCAACAUUCCGAUUGAAGAUGAUAGCGAUGAAGAUUGAUGUUUAGAGAUAAUUAUAUUUGACAGUUUGGUUUAAAGUUAUGUUAUUAGACAAAUAAACUUUUAUUUGUUAUGUUUAGUUGCUUAUGAGACGAGUACAUAUGGAAAUAAACUUUUAUUUGUUAUGUUUCGUAAUCACCUGACUGACUGAAACCUCCUUCCUCCUCCUUCCUCGAAACCCAGCGUCCAAUCUCAUCGAGAAUCAUGACUCAACCAUAAAAGGAGGCACCUUGAUUGAGAAUCCCGUCGAAAGGAAUGAACUUUCGGGGGAAGGAGGGAGGCUGUUUACGCAAGACCCGCCAAAAAUGGUUGAUCAGACUUUGAAAAUCAGAGAGGAAAGAUAUCUACAAGAGAAACUUGGAUGGAGAAGGAGAUGUGCGAGAAGAAUCUGGCUCCCAACUUGCCUUAUGUGAAACUUGGGUUGUGUUUGAAAGUUGUUAGAGAAGGAAGAACAAGAGCAAAAAGGUGCUUAUGCGCCGCCCCCACAUUGAUACGUUUGACUAGAGAAGAAGAAAUGAGCUUAGAGAAAGGGCAUUCUCUAAGAUGUGAUGUUGAGCUCAAGCUUUCUGGAAGAUAUCCCUCUUGUUAGCUAUCAACAUUUUGUUCCGUCUUCACUUGCUAGCAAAGAUAUAUACAGUAGACUGAAUAUAAUAAGUUCAAUCUUGACUUCAGGGGUCGUGCAUACCCCAAUGCAUCCUCAUCUGAGUUCUGAUCUUUGCCGUGGAGUUUGCUCAAGGACGUCCAUUUGGAAAGUCAGGCUUGUAUUGGCUGAAAGUACAUUUAGCAAACCUCUACGCAGGUGGGCGUCUUGCUUACCAUUUGAAUGAUACAAUAGAUUCUGCUGAAAACGAUGGUCGUUGAAGGCUGAGGAUCCUUUUCAGGGCUCAUUCUGGCACAAGCCUUGAAAAGCCCCUUCACCUUAUUCUGUAAUCUCCAACUUGCCUAUUGUAUUAACCUAGCUCUAGACUUUCCUUUUUUGUUUGUUACUAGACAAUUGGUUUCUGUUGGAGACUCUAGUUUGAGAAAUUGGGUUUCACUCUUUGCAUUGAACUGUGAAACAACGCUAGUAACGUUUUCUAUUCAUUCUGCGGCUCUGAAUAGAAAACCAGCUGAUGAUGUCUAUUCUGAAAUUUCAUAAUUUGUUUAUUCGAGUUAGAAUCAUGCCAUGCAUGGUUUCUAAUGAGUUUCCUCUUUGUCACUCUCUUGUGCUGGCAUACGGUCCAUGAAAUAAUGAAGAAGGAAGGACAGCAGUAAGGAUCACCUGAGUCAAACCCAACCGCUGCAUUGGCAAAGAUCCAAGUGUACAAUUCUGGUUCUGGUCUAAGAGUCUGGUUAAGUCCGGUUAUUGUACGUCUUUGAAAGUAAAAAGGACAGACACAUACAAAGUAUAUGUGAUGUUAAUCUUGUUAACACUUUCGUCAUUGUUGUAUACGGUUGAGUUUUAUUUUAGGGCAAGUCUCUUUCAUUUGGAUUUUUUGUUAUGCCGUUAGGUGGACACGUUCAUAAACUAUUAACAAUUUUUUUAUUAGAUUUAAGUAAUAUUUUGACUAGCUAACCGAUUGAUGAUGACCUUACGCUGACCAAAAAAAAAAGUAGUCCUUUUACUAGCAUAUGAUUGCCAUUGGUUAUGACUUAUGACUCAGAAAUAUCAAAGAACUGAUCACCUUAUCUGAGAUUGCGAUGAUUCAUUGUGGUUAGUGACAAAUUUUUAGGUUAAACCGUUGUUGCUUUAUGUAUUUUUUGUAUACAAAAUCCAUCAUUCCACAUUUUUUUUGUUAAUCAGAACAUUUCAAAUCUUGGACACGUAAUCUGUAUAGCCUCUGAGUAUGCCCCAUCUAUUAAGUGGAGAGAAACCAUAAUUAAAAAAAAUCUGAUGACAAAACUUUCUUCGCGAAAAUACCAUAAGUAGGGUUUUAUAUUAACGCAUGGAAUGUAUUAGUAAACUGCGACAAUAAGCAGUGAUUUUUUUGUCACAAUUCAUUAAUGUCUUUCAUCUACUUCAAUUUUAGAGUCCGUUAGUUAGGUGGUAAACGACAUCAGUAACUAGCACGUAAGUUGACCAAAAAAUAGUUUUUACUAGCACGUUUAAUAUCUUUCAUCUAGGUAAACGACAUUAGUAUUUUUUUUUUUUUUGAUCAAUGAGAUUAGUGUAUAUAUAUUAUAAGAAAAGAAGAAGAAGCAACGACUCAGGAACUUAAAAGAGAAGGAAUAAGUCUUUAUAUCUCAUCUGGAAGAAGAUACCAGCUCGAAGCAUGGAACAGUUGAUGCAAGAAGCUUUUGGGUUGAUAGUUGAUGUACGAAUCAACAUGGGAUAUCUACUGGAUUUUGCGGAAACGACGGUGAGUUUGGCCCCCUUGACACGUAUGAGGGAGGAAACUAUAGAUACAGCUUUUUCACAUGCAAACUCUAUCCGAGCAUUGGCGUUGAAGGCAGAAGCGUCGCAUUUACAAGUAGACAUUACUAUAUAUCUAGAACAUAUGUUGAGUUUCAUGGUGAACACAGUGAGCAUCGCACCCCUGACCCGUUUGAACGAGUCAACUAUGGUCAGAGCUUUGGAACUUGCAAACUCUAUCCAAGAUAUUCACCUUGAUGACAAUCUUGGUGAUGGUAUGGUUGACAAUUAUUAGUAUUAGAAUUUGGUUGGUUGAGUCUAGAUCAAGUAAACAUGUCUUAUCUGGUGUUGUGUUACCAUAAUAUAUGUCUAUUUCAAAGCUGAAAAUAUAUCAUAUUUGUCACAGAUAUUCGAGCGAUUAACCAAGUGAGAUUAUGUUAAUUUUAGUGAAUUGCAAUCAAGAAAAGAUCUAAAUAUUUUGUUGAAAGGUGAUUUUUAAGGAAUAUACUGUAAAGACAGAUGUUACAUAUUUGUUUUGAAUGCAAACACAUACAAAAUGUAAUCUUUCAAAAAUACACAUACGUACAUACCUCCGAACCUCUACGAGUGCCUGUCGCCUCGUCAUUCUCAUUGCCCCCUAGUAGGGGUCCUUCUGAAUUUUUUAAAAUGGCCCAAUCAUAAGAAAAUAGACAGAAUUCUCUGGAGGAAGAAGUUGCAAAUCAAAACACACCUACCUCUGUCUGUCUUCUUGUUUUUGCAAUGUCAAAAGGGCAAGCAUAGUAGCAGCUACAAAACCAGCUGAAAAGUUUGCACCGAGAACACCAAGAGCGUUUGUAUCACUGCAUUCACUGAAUUGUAGAAAGAGAAAAGAAGAACAAGAGGUCUAGUCCAGACAGCUCAACUGAUGCUCAGGAAGAUGGAACCAUGACAAAAGAUGAAGAGAAGAAGGAUGAUGUGCAUCAAAUGUAUUAUUAGUUCAUGAGUCUCUGAAUCUGAUUUGAGUCAGUAAUAAGUCGGAUACAUCAUUCACAAUAAUAAAUGAAAUUGAAUUUAUCUAUACAGAGAUACAGAAGAGUUGGAUCACUUAGCUCUCUACCUAUAACUCUUAUCGUUUCUCUUAAAUUGUGUAUGACAAAAGAAUACUAGUAUCAUGUAAAAUCUGUAGUGUACGUUAGCUCCUCUCUCACAGCUACAUUGGCCUGAGCGACCAGAACAAUCCUGCUUUCCUCAUCUCCUACGUGCGCUCAUUAUCCUUGCAUGGCAAUUCGGCGUACACUGCACCACGCAUCUUUGAGUUUAGUGUUUAAGGAGUCUCUAAAUUUAUUAACAAUACGUAAGAAGUUCCAUCCCUGGUCCAUGAUCUCUGCAUCUUUCGAUUUCGUUUCGUGACUAGAUUACUUCAUAUACUCGUUCUUGUACUUCUCUCUGGUGAUCUUUUAUUUCAUUUAACAUAGAUAGUUCCAGUGAGAACAGAGCAAAGUUACUUGUCCCACAAGAAAUGUUGACAACUUAACUACUUGAGGUUUUUGAUUCCGGUUGUUCGGAUUAACUUUUUCCGCGUAUUCACACGUAAGCUAUUUCUCUAACUGAUUUGCAGAGUCUACAGACCAAAUAAAUUAGUUCUAUUACUUACAAUCUUUAAUUAGUAAUCAAGUGAAACCAAUCCCAUUGAUUGGAUCAUUUUCGCUACGUAUGACCCAUAUAUCCGUGCUUGCUUUGAAAGAUAGUUAGAAACGGAUUAUUUGUUGAAUCAAACUAGUUAUCAGUAUUAUAAGAUAUGUGGCCAAUCUAGUUACCAUUUUGUUUGACCAAUGUUGUAGUUUGAUAUGUGACCAAUGUUCCGCGUAUAAACAAAAUUCAUUUAUCUUACUAGGGCUGGGCAAAUAAACCGAACCCGAAAAUUCGAACCGAACCCGAUUCGAUAAAAAUGAAUCCGAACCGAUCCAAACCCGGCAUAAAUACUGAAUGGAUCUUGUUUUAUGGUAUUUUGGGUUAUGGGUAUUAUCCGAAACGAACCCGAACUUAGAUGGAUACCCGAUAGAACCCGAAACAUUCAAAAUUUCCAAAAAUAACUUGUACCAAACAUGAUCUCAAUUCCUAAUAUGUAUUCAAAAUAUAUUGAACAUCUAAAAUAAUUAUCUAUUAUCUAUUAUAUGAAGAUUGAUGGUUGAAGGUGGCAGUUGAAGGUUGAAGUUUUUAGAUUUUGUUUUUGUUUUCAUUGAAUAUGUUUUUCAUUUCAUGCGAACUUGGUUUUCAUUUUAUCUUUUCAUUUAUUUGGUUUUAUUUCGAUCAAUAACUAUGUUUACCUUUCACUUGAUUUUGAUUGAUCACAUUUGAUGUUUCUUUCUUUUUUUUUUGAACCGAUUUUAUUUAUGUUUUGGUUACAAAAUAGGUAUAAAUCAAGUAUUUUAAAACCAAAGAACCGAUUUUACUUACUUUUUGGUUAUAAAGUAGAUAUAAAUCAGGUACAUUAAACCGAUGAAACGAUUGAGACCCAAACCCGAAAGUACAUCGGGUUGUACCGGUUCUUUGAAGAUUUACUAAUCCCAACCCGAACCUGAUAAAACCCGAACCGGUCCCGAACCAAAUUUUCAUAUAACCCGAAUGAAGUUGAUUUUAAUAAACCCGAAAAAUCAAAACCCGACUAGACUAAACCAAAACCCGAUUGGGACCCGAAUGCACAAUCCAGUUUGUGAUCUUACAAUGAAUUUUGCUUGAGUAAUUGUCAUUUGUUAUUGGUUAAUCCAGUUUUCAUUAAGCAUAAGAUUAAAUAACAGCUAUGUGAGAACAAAAAAAACUUAAGUGGAUAUGAGCUUGGCCGUUUGGGCAAAGCAUUUUUUAUGUUCUUUUAGAUAUAUAAAAAACUAAAAUAUAAUGUGAAGAGGACUGCUAUGACGAGGCUGAGAGUGAAUAUGAUGAGCUUUAUGAGUACAUGGAUUAGAGCUUCUCGAACUUCCUUUUUUCCACGUUCGUCUUCAUCAUCGGUGGCGGAGGCAUGACGGCGACCCAUUGUUUUUUUAGAUCAACGAUGAUGUAUUUAUAUAGGCCCGCUAACAAGAAUUUAUAACAACCGGUUAACAAAAAGAAAAAAAUGUAGCAAGCCUAGUCGACUGACGGCAACUAGUUUUAUGUACCAUUUUAGUUGGCUAAAGUUUAUAAGAGAAAAAUGACUCUAAAAUUAAAGACUAAGAUUUAUUUGUGUUUCUAUCAUUACCAUUUCAGCGGUACGAUUCAUUAGUCACUCGUUGCACACUAUAAUGAUCUUAUGCAACUGAAAUAAAUAAAAACCAAUGAAUUGCUUAAGUGAAUGACAAUUCAAAAGCGAUGCUAUCGAUGAAACGCUAAAAACACAAAAUUAGUUCAUAAUUAGUAUUUGUGGUUAUUUACUUUCAUUUUUUCCAAUGAAAUUUGAAUAUAAAUUUGGGUUCGAUGUUCAAAUCCCUUAGUGUUCAAAGCUUCAGAUCUUUAUUCUGCAUUUCUCUGAUUUUAAAUAUUUAAAACAUGGUAGUUUUGAUAAUUUACACACAACUACAUGUUGAUUACAAAAUUUUUUGAUGUUGUGUUUUUUCGAUUUAGUCGUCGUGAGAACCUAACCUUUGAGAAUGGUCUUGCUAAACAAGCCCUUAGGGGUAUUGUAUCGAACCAAGUUUAACCGAUUAAUGAAUUUUCUCUGUGAACAAAAAAAUCAAAUAAAGAAAUGACAAUUUCUAUUGUUUAAUGAAUCUCUUACCAUAUUCUUUGAUUUAAAUAUUUUGAAAAGUAUUCAUUUUUCUUCAAAUUAUUUUGCUUUUUAAACUACAUGGUACUUAAUUGAUUUCAUCCCAUAAUACUAGUUUAAAGGGGUUUUAUUCGAUCAUGUAUUUUAAUAGAAUUUAAAUCUAAACACAAAUCACUAUUAUUCGAAUGAUAAUUCUAAAUUCUAUUUUAAAAUCUAAUGUUAUUAAAUGAAUAAUUUAAAUCAAGUGUUUAGAAUCUAAUGUUAUUUAAUUUUUAAAGAUUUUUAAAUUUUUAAAAUUGAUUUUAAAUCAUCUUUUAUGGAAUCUCAUGAACAUAUGAUUAAACUCAAAAACCAAAACAUCGCUGAGAUUUUAGAAUUCGUCAACUUUUGGAGCCUUUUGCACGGGUGAGAGCCUUUUGGAUUUGACUUUGGAGGAAUGCAUUCGCAUUCGUAGAGACGACCAACAUACUUAGACCAGCUCUAUUGGGGAGUUUUAAAGAGAUAUUUUUUUUUUAAAAGGCCAAAAAAUAAAUCAGAAAAUAGGAAAAAUUAUAGAAAGGGGUCUUAGAAAGGGAUUUUAAGAGCUGCUAAACACCCUUUACGUGUCUCCUCUUCCUUCGAUCUCUGUCUCUCUCUUUCCUGUCUCUCUCUUCCCUGUCUCUUUCUUCGACUCUUCGUCGAUCAAUGCCAACCAAUCUCCAUCACCAUCAAAGUCUAUGAUCUGAAUCCAAUUACGCGCUCUUCGAUCUCGCUAAAGACAGGAAAGAAGACAGAGCUGCCGGCUCUUCACAUUGAGAAUAUGUGGUGUAGUUUAGUUGUUGUUUCUGUUCUCAUCACAAUCUGUGUUUUAAUGUUUUGUUUUUGUUCUCAUCACAAUUUGUGUGUUUAAUCUUCUGUUUCUGUUGAAACAUUGAGUUUUAACUGAUAUGCAUUGUAUUCAUCAGUGAUCCUUGUGUUGCAAUGUUUGUAUGAACUGAUAAACGUUUGCAUUUCAAUUGUUUAUGUUCUGA